RNAcentral lists this long non-coding RNA (1060 nucleotides) under Melopsittacus undulatus (budgerigar). Its description in RNAcentral is "lncRNA (ENSMUNG00000018286.1)". The record is from RNAcentral. Lineage: Eukaryota; Metazoa; Chordata; Aves; Psittaciformes; Psittaculidae.
GGGGGGGGGGGUUUGGUUUUGGUGGUUUUGGGGUUUUUUUUUCCUGUAGAGAUCUGCUUUGAGAAGAAAAGAAUUUAUACCUUCUCUUGUGGAUUUCUGAGUGGUGAAACUUGACUUGAGCUGCUCUAUACAAGUCUGUAAUUAAAAAGGAGAAUACUGAAUUCUGUUGGCCUUGGCCUUUUUUGCUCUCUUUAUUUGCCCUCUUGGAGAUUCUGAAGGCACGUUAUUAGCAUUUAGGAUCAUCUGCAGUCAGCAGCCACACACGUAUUAUGAUCUCUACACAUAAUUAAUUCAGGACUUUCUUUUCCUAUUUCUAUUCUUACAGGCAUGUGUUGUAUUUGUACUGGGUCACCAGUGAGUGAACUUCCAAUACAUUCUUUAGUUACUAACUUUGUAACUUUUUGUUGCAGUUCUUGCAUUCUAAGUAAUUUAUACUGAAUAAAAUAUUAUUAAUUGAACGGUGACUUGCUAAAGAACAUUCAUCCGAACAUGUGUUACAUGAAGGUUUUUGUAAAACAGAUUGCCAUUAACUGCUGCUUUAUCUGCCAGGGUCUUCACACUGUAGUUGAGCAACAGAAUUAUAGGAGAUGAGAAAAGAUGUCUGUAAGUUUAUACUGUCAUGGCUGUAUUUUGAUCUGGUAUUUUUGAUUUAUCCUCCUAAAGAACUGAAUAUGACAUUCCAACUGUCAGACUUGAACAUCUUAACCAUAAGGUCCAUCAGUAUUAUCUAUCAUGGGCACAGGAUUCCCCUACAGAGAAGUAAGAGAUUUCUGUUUUAACAAAGAGAAGUUUAUGUUGGCAUUUAGAUAUAUAUAUUCUUAUGAAAACAACAUCAGGUACCAGUUUAAGAUACCAAAAUAUUUUUAAAAAAAAAAAAAAAAAAAAAAAAAAAUCAAGCUGUUCCAACCACUUGAUUUCUAACCAAGUAGACUUUAGUUUAGAAGCACUGGAAAAGUGCUUCAUUUAUAAAUAUGGAAGGAAAAAAAACAACCAAAAACCAAAAAGCAACCAUUGCAUCAAACCAGAGAGAGUCAAAACAUCACUAGGACAAGAGGGGUAA